This 253-nucleotide ribosomal RNA is filed under the name uncultured bacterium. Its description in RNAcentral is "partial 16S ribosomal RNA". It matches the Rfam family "Bacterial small subunit ribosomal RNA", at positions 524 to 776 of the family's 1533-position model. The record is from RNAcentral.
UACGGGGGGGGCAAGCGUUAUCCGGAUUCACUGGGUUUAAAGGGUGCGUAGGCGGACAGGUAAGUCAGUGGUGAAAUCUUCGAGCUUAACUCGGAAACUGCCGUUGAUACUAUCUGUCUUGAAUAUUGUGGAGGUGAGCGGAAUAUGUCAUGUAGCGGUGAAAUGCUUAGAUAUGACAUAGAACACCAAUUGCGAAGGCAGCUCGCUACACAUAUAUUGACUCUGAGGCACGAAAGCGUGGGGAUCAAACAGG